Saimiri boliviensis boliviensis (Bolivian squirrel monkey) is the source of this 2576-nucleotide non-coding RNA. The record is from RefSeq and is a predicted model, not a curated record. Lineage: Eukaryota; Metazoa; Chordata; Mammalia; Primates; Cebidae.
UCCCCGCGCCCGCCCGCAACCCGCCGCCCGCCCGACGGCCCGGCUCUGCAAGUCCUGGCCCGCGACGCCCGCUGGGAAUGCACGUGAACUUGGAGAAAGUCGCGGGGCGCGCCGGCCCGGCUCUCCGCGGCAGGGCGUGGGCGCCCCCGGGCCGGCGUGCUUUCGUUUUCGUCUGGGACAAAGGUCCCUUGCGGCGCGCGCGGACGCGGUGACCGGGUCCUGCGGGCCACUCUCCGGAGCGCGGUCCGGUCGCUAAGCGCGGGGAAGCCGGAGCCCGAAGGGCAGGAGCAGCGCGGGGCUGAGGAAGUGGGGCCUGGGCCGUGCGCUUCGCCGGCGGCGGUCCAGAGCCGUCACACCCUGAGAAGAGUUGCGCAAACUGGCACUGCUCUGCCGUCCGCCGCUUCGACACGGGAAGAGGAGAAGCGUUUGGAACCCAGGACUUAGGACCGCUGGCCGAGGGCCUGUGCAGCUCCGGGCACGCGAGCGCGGCGGCGGCCAGGCGCGGUCCUCCCGCAAGGACAGGGCUGUCGACCUGUGCGCGCCCCAGGUCACCAUCGGGUUCACGGCGACUCCGACUCCCGAGGACGAAUGUGGCCCCAUCCCAGAGUGUCACCGGAGACAUCAGGAGCCCAUUGUGGGUGUGGGAAGACCCUCUGGGACCUCGCGGCCCAGGUCUUCCGCUCUUAGCCACCGCCUCGGGUGACGCCUGAAGCUCAAGGGACUGUGUCCACCCUCAGGUCCUGCCCGUGGCUCCGGAGCGGCAGUCCCCGUCAGAGGCUGGGGCUGAGUCCGCAGGUGUGUGAGUAGUAUCCUCCCCUGGCCCAGUGGCCCCUCGAGCACCCCGCUGCCGGCCACGGCUCGGCCACUCUGGGCCUUGGCCUCCCGGUCUGUGCAGUGGGGUUGGUGGUGAUCACAGGCUCCUGCUCUGCACAGGCCGGGAGGGACUGGCACGUGGCUGCACCUCCGGCCCGGGAGCCCAGGAGCAGCCUCGCUGUGUUUGCCGGACCUUUGGGUUCUGAAUAAGAUCUGGUGAAGAGACAUAGAGACCAGUGCUGGGCGGGGGCGGGAAGGCAUCCCUGUGGCACCCUGGGGCCCCCCGUCUGUUGGAUCUGGGGGUGCUGCCUGCCAGGCUCCACUCUGCCCGGCGAGUGUCAGGGGCAGCGGGGUGCGUGCCCUUGUCCAGAGGAGGCUGGAGAAGGGGACACGGGUGGGGAGUAGACGGAGGGUCUCCAGACAGAUGAGCGGGAUGGAACUCGGGGCGUGUUUGGGAAGCGGCCGGUGCUGAGCGCGGCUGGAGCAGGGCUCCGGGAGAGGCCAAGUGGGCCCGACCCUUGUUGUCAGGGUCCGGAAAGUUCCAGGCUAUGGGGUGGGUGCUGGGGAAGGAGGUCGGGGAACAGCCUCCAAGCCCCGGAGCGGCCCCCCAGUGUCCCUGUAGCAGCCACUUCCUGGCACAGCAGUCCCUGGAGUCCAGGCCCUCAUGCCACCCGUCCGUGCACUGCUCCAAUCUCGGGCACGUGAGGAGCCGCUCUCCGCAGGUCUGGGGGCAAAGGAAGGUUUUGAAUUGGGAGCUCAGGCUCAGUAGGCCCCUGCCGCCUCUCCCAGAGCUUGUGCCUCAGGUUAGGCCGCCUGGGCUGCAAGGUGGGAGGGCAUCGGUGCCCCAGGCAGGCCCCAGCCCCCCCAGGGCCACCUCCAGAGCCUUAGACAGGACAACAAGGCCUCUGGUGGCCCCGGCUGCUGGGAGCCUGGGCAGAAGAAGGUUCCAGAAAGGGGCCACCUGCCUGUCUCUGGGCCCAUGCGCAGGGCAGGCGUGGUGCCUCUUUCCCGGUGGCCGUGUCCCCUCCUCCUCCCGGCCCCACCCCCUCUCCCGCCCGCGGCCUGGCGGUCUUUGUCUUCCAAGCGCUCUGCAAAAUGGCCGCCUGACCCGCCGCCAUUUCGUAGCUGAGGUGGCAGCGGCCUUGGCGAGGCCCGUGAGGGAGGGCGGCCAUGGCCCGCCUGCCUGCCCUGAGCGGCCUGGACAGAGCCCAGCACCGGCCCCCGCCCAGCCUGGCCUUGGCCGUGGCCGCCCCGGGCUUGGCACCAGCCCGCCCUUGGCAAGGCGGCCCGAGAGUCCUGGUCCCUCACCCGGCCCUGCCGACCCUGAGGCGGCCUUGCUGAGCAGACGGAGAAGCCUUGAGCCAGGGCCAGGCGGGUGCAGCCUCGCGGGUGGGGGAGUCCAGGGCUGAGGGCAGCGUGGGCAGGCGUGGGGUCCGUGUGGGCUCCCCGCACCUCUGCAGGGUGACACCGUCAGGCCUUGACCAUUCACCUGUGGCACUCCUGGCCUGGCCUGGCCGGGGGUGGGUCUCUGAGUGGCCAGCCCGGCUUCUGGCCUAGAGAUGGGCACCGCUGUCCUCAGGAAGCGGGCAGGGCCCCUCUCUAGCCGGGAUUCCCCUGUGGUGGGGUCAGCCAAGGUCCGUGACACACAGAAGUGGACGACCUGUUCCCCGCUGGCAAGUGGCAUGUUACCGAAGGGACAGGCAGCCCUGGGUGGGCUCCAGGAAAACCCUGGGGGUCAGGGACUGCAGAGCGGCAUCAGGGAG